CCCAGACUCCUACGGGAGGCAGCAGUGGGGAAUAUUGCACAAUGGGGGAAACCCUGAUGCAGCGACGCCGCGUGAGUGAAGAAGUAUCUCGGUACGUAAAGCUCUAUCAGCAGGGAAGAAAAUGACGGUACCUGACUAAGAAGCCCCGGCUAACUACGUGCCAGCAGCCGCGGUAAUACGUAGGGGGCAAGCGUUAUCCGGAUUUACUGGGUGUAAAGGGAGCGUAGACGGCAGCGCAAGUCUGGAGUGAAAUGCUGGGGCCCAACCCCGGAACUGCUUUGGAAACUGUGCAGCUCGAGUGCAGGAGAGGUAAGCGGAAUUCCUAGUGUAGCGGUGAAAUGCGUAGAUAUUAGGAGGAACACCAGUGGCGAAGGCGGCUUACUGGACGAAGACUGACGCUCAGGUGCGAAAGCGUGGGGAGCAAACAGGAUUAGAUACCCGUGUACU
RNAcentral lists this ribosomal RNA (447 nucleotides) under uncultured bacterium. RNAcentral's name for it is "bacterial SSU rRNA". It matches the Rfam family "Bacterial small subunit ribosomal RNA", at positions 330 to 794 of the family's 1533-position model. The record is from RNAcentral.